Molecule: long non-coding RNA, 283 nt
Organism: Oreochromis aureus
Lineage: Eukaryota; Metazoa; Chordata; Actinopteri; Cichliformes; Cichlidae
Exons: 2
Source: RefSeq, a predicted model, not a curated record
CCCCGAGUCAUCGCUAAGCCAAUCCCCCCACUCUACAAACUCGUUCCAGUCAAAUGAAUCGUCAGACUGUUCACUCACCUCUUCAUCGUCUACAGAUUCCCUGGACCCGUCCCCGUGUUUCCCCAUGUGGAGUAUGGAGAGAGGUCGGAGUGGUCGUGUGUGUGAUUUCCCUGUUUCCCUGGAACCCUGCCCCUCACGUCUUGUAAAUAGCAAAAUCCUCGCACUGCCUGUAAAUACACUUGGCGAAGAAAUUGUAAAUAAAACCUUUUCUGUUAAAUCGCAA